RNAcentral lists this unclassified non-coding RNA (283 nucleotides) under uncultured fungus. RNAcentral's name for it is "partial contains 5.8S rRNA and ITS2". The record is from RNAcentral. Lineage: Eukaryota; Fungi.
AACGCACAUUGCACUCUGUUUCGGCAGAGUAUGCCUGUUUGAGAAUCUAUAGUAUUCAUUCUCCGGUUUCCAUUUAGAGAGACCGGCGAGAGUUGAGACGUUCCACUCGCACUGGAUGUCUUGAAAGCUAUAGCUACUGGUCGUUUGCGACAGAAACGUAUGUGUAUGGAACCUCGGUUUCUCUAAUGCAGAGUAUGUUGUCGACACUAAGCCGGUACUCACCUAGUAAAGCGCAAGCUUGAACCAUGGUCUCAAAUCAGGCAGGAAGACCCGCUGAACUUAA